AACUAAUAGACUUGGGAAAGAUUAGUGAGUUCACUUGCAAGAGCAUACUGAAGGAAUGCUAUGGAAGAACCUAUGGACUUUCUUAGAGGAACAACAAGCUUGAGCUGGAAAAUGCAGGAAUGGAACUUGAGAAGCAAAGCAGAGGCCAAGGUAUCUGAACAACCUCUGCAUCAUUUGUCAAUCAUGGGACCAGGACAUUUUAAGGCCUACUCAUUGCUCUUUGCUGGUACCAAAUGCCUGCCUUCAGCUGGCUCUAGGGUGGCCAACAGACAACAUAAGCAAAUACUUCUAAGGCAAGAUGCUGGAUAACCAAUAAAAAUGUUUACUCAUCAAUAAUCUAUUUUUGGUGUACAAAUUUCCUCAUUAAAGAACACAGAUACAGAAAAAGGCA
RNAcentral lists this long non-coding RNA (391 nucleotides) under Heterocephalus glaber (naked mole-rat). RNAcentral describes it as "lncRNA (ENSHGLG00000041928.1)". The record is from RNAcentral. Lineage: Eukaryota; Metazoa; Chordata; Mammalia; Rodentia; Bathyergidae.